AUUGAACGCUGGCGGCAGGCUUAACACAUGCAAGUCGAGCGGGGUGAUGGUGCUUGCACUAUCACUUAGCGGCGGACGGGUGAGUAAUGCUUAGGAAUCUGCCUAUUAGUGGGGGACAACAUCUCGAAAGGGAUGCUAAUACCGCAUACGUCCUACGGGAGAAAGCAGGGGAUCACUUGUGACCUUGCGCUAAUAGAUGAGCCUAAGUCGGAUUAGCUAGUUGGUGGGGUAAAGGCCUACCAAGGCGACUAUCUGUAGCGGGUCUGAGAGGAUGAUCCGCAACACUGGGACUGGGACACGGCCCAGACUCCUACGGGAGGCAGCAGUGGGGAAUAGUGGACAAUGGGGGGAACCCUGAUCCAGCCAUGCCGCGUGUGUGAAGAAGGCCUUAUGGUUGUAAAGCACUUUAAGCGAGGAGGAGGCUCUUUUGGUUAAUACCCAAGAUGAGUGGACGUUACUCGCAGAAUAAGCACCGGCUAACUCUGUGCCAGCCGCCGCCGUAA
Molecule: ribosomal RNA, 503 nt
Filed under: uncultured bacterium
Lineage: Bacteria
Description: partial 16S ribosomal RNA
Rfam family: Bacterial small subunit ribosomal RNA
Source: RNAcentral